This 345-nucleotide ribosomal RNA is filed under the name uncultured bacterium. Its description in RNAcentral is "bacterial SSU rRNA". It matches the Rfam family "Bacterial small subunit ribosomal RNA", at positions 8 to 334 of the family's 1533-position model. The record is from RNAcentral.
AGGGUUUGAUCCUGGCUCAGGACGAACGCUGGCGGCGCGCCUAACACAUGCAAGUCGAACGGAGAAUACAGACGGAAGUUUUCGGACGGAAGGCUGUAGACUUAGUGGCGGACGGGUGAGUAACACGUGAGCAACCUGCCCUAGAGAGGGGGAUAACGUCUGGAAACGGACGCUAAUACCGCAUAACAUCACACUUUCGCAUGGGAGAGUGAUCAAAGGAGGAAUCCGCUUUAGGAUGGGCUCGCGUCCGAUUAGAUAGUAGGCGGGGUAACGGCCCACCUAGUCGACGAUCGGUAGCCGGACUGAGAGGUUGAACGGCCACAUUGGGACUGAGACACGGCCCAG